UGAAAUAGCUCAAUUAGGUAGAGCAACUGAAUCGUAAUCAGUAGGUUGCGGGUUCGAUUCCUGUUUUCAGC
RNAcentral lists this transfer RNA (71 nucleotides) under human gut metagenome. It matches the Rfam family "tRNA". Rfam says of the family: Transfer RNA (tRNA) molecules are approximately 80 nucleotides in length. The record is from RNAcentral.